GAUGAACGCUAGCGGCAGGCCUAAUACAUGCAAGUCGGACGGGAUUUGGGAGCUUGCUCCCAAUGAGAGUGGCGCACGGGUGCGUAACACGUAUGUAACCUACCUUAAUCAGGGGGAUAGCCUCUCGAAAGAGAGAUUAACACCGCAUAAUAUAUUUUUAUGGCAUCGUAGAAAUAUCAAAUAUUUAUAGGAUUAAGAUGGGCAUGCGGAACAUUAGCUAGUUGGUAAGGUAACGGCUUACCAAGGCUACGAUGUUUAGGGGAUCUGAGAGGAUGACGCGCCACACUGGUACUGAGACACGGACCAGACUCCUGCGGGAGGCAGCAGUAAGGAGUAUUGGUCAAUGGGCGCAAGCCUGAAACAGCCAUGCCGCGUGCAGGAAGACGGCCCUAUGGGUUGUAAACUGCUUUUGUACCGGAAUAAACCCUUUUACGUGUAAAAGGCUGAAUGUACGGUAAGAAUAAGGAUCGGCUAACUCCGUGCCAGCCGCCGCCGUAA
This 498-nucleotide ribosomal RNA is filed under the name uncultured bacterium. Its description in RNAcentral is "partial 16S ribosomal RNA". It matches the Rfam family "Bacterial small subunit ribosomal RNA", at positions 28 to 523 of the family's 1533-position model. The record is from RNAcentral.